GAUGUUAGCGGCGGACGGGUGAGUAACACGUGGGUAACCUGCCUGUAAGACUGGGAUAACUCCGGGAAACCGGGGCUAAUACCGGAUGGUUGUUUGAACCGCAUGGUUCAAACAUAAAAGGUGGCUUCGGCUACCACUUACAGAUGGACCCGCGGCGCAUUAGCUAGUUGGUGAGGUAACGGCUCACCAAGGCAACGAUGCGUAGCCGACCUGAGAGGGUGAUCGGCCACACUGGGACUGAGACACGGCCCAGACUCCUACGGGAGGCAGCAGUAGGGAAUCUUCCGCAAUGGACGAAAGUCUGACGGAGCAACGCCGCGUGAGUGAUGAAGGUUUUCGGAUCGUAAAGCUCUGUUGUUAGGGAAGAACAAGUACCGUUCGAAUAGGGCGGUACCUUGACGGUACCUAACCAGAAAGCCACGGCUAACUACGUGCCAGCAGCCGCGGUAAUACGUAGGUGGCAAGCGUUGUCCGGAAUUAUUGGGCGUAAAGGGCUCGCAGGCGGUUUCUUAAGUCUGAUGUGAAAGCCCCCGGCUCAACCGGGGAGGGUCAUUGGAAACUGGGGAACUUGAGUGCAGAAGAGGAGAGUGGAAUUCCACGUGUAGCGGUGAAAUGCGUAGAGAUGUGGAGGAACACCAGUGGC
RNAcentral lists this ribosomal RNA (643 nucleotides) under Bacillus tequilensis. RNAcentral describes it as "bacterial SSU rRNA". It matches the Rfam family "Bacterial small subunit ribosomal RNA", at positions 88 to 716 of the family's 1533-position model. Lineage: Bacteria; Bacillati; Bacillota; Bacilli; Caryophanales; Bacillaceae. The record is from RNAcentral.